RNAcentral lists this ribosomal RNA (372 nucleotides) under Curtobacterium sp. Its description in RNAcentral is "bacterial SSU rRNA". It matches the Rfam family "Bacterial small subunit ribosomal RNA", at positions 904 to 1277 of the family's 1533-position model. Lineage: Bacteria; Bacillati; Actinomycetota; Actinomycetes; Micrococcales; Microbacteriaceae. The record is from RNAcentral.
AAGGAAUUGACGGGGGCCCGCACAAGCGGCGGAGCAUGCGGAUUAAUUCGAUGCAACGCGAAGAACCUUACCAAGGCUUGACAUACACCGGAAACGGCCAGAGAUGGUCGCCCCCUUGUGGUCGGUGUACAGGUGGUGCAUGGUUGUCGUCAGCUCGUGUCGUGAGAUGUUGGGUUAAGUCCCGCAACGAGCGCAACCCUCGUUUUAUGUUGCCAGCGGGUUAUGCCGGGGACUCAUAGGAGACUGCCGGGGUCAACUCGGAGGAAGGUGGGGAUGACGUCAAAUCAUCAUGCCCCUUAUGUCUUGGGCUUCACGCAUGCUACAAUGGCCGGUACAAAGGGCUGCGAUACCGUAAGGUGGAGCGAAUCCCAA